RNAcentral lists this long non-coding RNA (575 nucleotides) under Setaria viridis. Its description in RNAcentral is "long non-coding RNA (SVIR_LNC007959)". The record is from RNAcentral. Lineage: Eukaryota; Viridiplantae; Streptophyta; Magnoliopsida; Poales; Poaceae.
AGCCUAGCUUCUUAUGUGGAACGGACCCGCAUAUGCAUAGCACCUCUCUUACACUUCCAUCCUGGCUUCAUAUAAAAGGGUUAACCCGGAGGUACUAUGUUUGGAUUGACAAGGAUUAUAAGCUAGCCCUCGGUCCCUAAACUUCCAAGGUGGUACUAAACCUACCAACUACAACCACGAUUGGGCCAUAUGGGCCAAUAACUUCAACUACUAUGGUAUAUUGGGCUGCGGUAUUACAUUCACCCCACCUUCAACCAAACCUGGGUACAUGGCCGUGCCAUGGGCCUAGUCGGAUGCACACGCACACAUGCAGCCAGGGUUCAUCCUCUGAAUACCAUAUGUAACACCCCGCUCCAAAAUCUACUUACAGCCCAGCUCAUUACGUGGACCAGGUCCGCAUAUGUCUAGCACCUCUCUAAUACUUUCGUCCUCUCUUCGUGUAUGUUGACGCUCAUUAUUGACACACUUUUAGUGCUAUUUGAAUUGUGUUUUCAUGCAUAUUCUUAUACUAACCCACCACUUGGCGCCUAAAAUAACCCCAUAUUCGCAUGUGUCAUGUAUUUUGGAUCAUCUUG